GUGCUGUAUGAAAGGAGAGAAGGUUAGCACUCCCCUUGACAAGAAUGGAAUUGGCCCUUGUGGCCUGCAACGCGCAUACGGUUAAAGCAUUGACACCUACUUCGUAGCAUCUCUAAUCACGCUUUUCG
Amphiprion ocellaris (clown anemonefish) is the source of this 128-nucleotide small nuclear RNA. Lineage: Eukaryota; Metazoa; Chordata; Actinopteri; Pomacentridae. The record is from Ensembl.